This 253-nucleotide ribosomal RNA is filed under the name uncultured bacterium. Its description in RNAcentral is "partial 16S ribosomal RNA". It matches the Rfam family "Bacterial small subunit ribosomal RNA", at positions 524 to 776 of the family's 1533-position model. The record is from RNAcentral.
UACGGGGGGGGCAAGCGUUGUUCGGAAUUACUGGGCGUAAAGGGCGCGUAGGCGGCCCUCUAAGUCGGACGUGAAAUCCCUCGGCUUAACCGGGGAACUGCGUCUGAUACUGGAGGGCUUGAAUCCGGGAGAGGGAUGUGGAAUUCCAGGUGUAGCGGUGAAAUGCGUAGAUAUCUGGAGGAACACCGGUGGCGAAGGCGGCAUCCUGGACCGGCAUUGACGCUGAGGCGCGAAAGCUAGGGGAGCAAACGGG